RNAcentral lists this unclassified non-coding RNA (86 nucleotides) under Gillisia sp. Hel1_33_143. RNAcentral's name for it is "Flavo-1 RNA". The record is from RNAcentral. Lineage: Bacteria; Pseudomonadati; Bacteroidota; Flavobacteriia; Flavobacteriales; Flavobacteriaceae.
AACUACACGCGUUAGGGAGCGAAGCGGUAGCUUAGUAAAAGCUCUUUCCGGCUUUUAAUAACUACAAGCAUAGCGCCCGACCCGAC